GCAAUUGGGCGGGUGGGGGAACUGAGGUGCAUAUGAUGACGUGUGAAUCCUAGGAACUGCAAUGCAUGCAAUGAAACUGUAACCCAAUUCAUGGAAAAUGGAAAACACCCUUUUCUUUUAUGUUAAUUCUAAUUAAUAAUUUUUUUGAUGUAAUUAUGAAAUUUUAGCAAUCAUUUUAUUUUUCUGUUCCUUCACCAAAUAACUUGGAUGUGGAACUCUCCUGCAUAUUCUUUGAAAAGAGACGAAAUUCAAAGCAAAUUGAUCUCUUUGUAAACUUCUCAUAGCUUCCAUUACCUAUUUUCUUCAUCUUCCCGGAAAUAAUUUUUCCCAAUAUCUGUCUAAAUUUCGUUUUUGGGAUUUUUUUAGAUUUGGAACAAAUCCUAAAGCUUUGCUUCCCCCAUCGAAUUGAUGACAUAAUUCCUGAUCUAUUAGUUUGGAUUUUGUGGUGGAUUUUCCUAGAAGAGGCUGUUUGGACCAGAAAAAGGGCUGGACUUGGGGGGUCUGUUCUAGGCCUUUGAUCUCUUCUCACAGAUUGAAUUCUUUCGAUUUUUAUUUGCUCUUUAAUGGAAUUAUCAAGGACCCACAUUGAUGUUGGAAUUGAGAAGAGAGAGUUGAUGGUUAUAAUGAGGACCUAAGAAUUUGGGAAAUUUUGAUGGGGAACGCAUGCGCUGGGCCAAGUAAUCUUGGUGGGAAUGGAUUCUUCCAAUCUGUCACACAGGCGGUUUGGCGGCAAAGGCCGCCUAUUCAGGACCAAUUGCCGGCGGCUAAUGAAGAUAACAGCAACAAAGGUUCCGACGAAUCUAAUAAAUCCAAGGGCUCGGAUGAUUGUCAAGAUUCCGCUGCAACUGAGAACACUGCCCCUGUACCCGUCAAGAUCCCCAAUGCGGAGCCCAAGAAUAAGGAAGGGAACAAUGCCAAUAAGGCUUCGGGUCAAAAGCCAAACAAUUUGAAGAGGUUGACAAGCACGGAACUGGAGUCAGUGCUUGGAAGGAAAACCGGGAAUAUGAAGGAGCUAUAUAGCUUGGGGCGUAAGUUAGGUCAAGGACAAUUCGGAACAACGUUUUUCUGUGUUGAAAAAAGCACUGGGAAAGAGUUCGCCUGCAAAUCCAUUGCCAAGAGGAAGCUGACCUCAACUGAUGAUUUGGAGGAUGUUAGAAGGGAGGUUCAUAUAAUGCACCAUCUCGCAGGUCACCCUAAUGUGAUACAAAUCAUAGGUGCUUACGAAGAUGCUGUGGCUAUUUAUCUUGUUAUGGAGUUUUGUGCUGGUGGGGAGCUUUUUGAUAGAAUCAUUCAGAGAGGGCAUUAUACCGAGAGAAAGGCAGCUGCGCUUGCUAGGGUAAUGGUUGGUGUUGUUCAAGCAUGUCAUUCUCUUGGUGUUAUGCAUCGUGACCUCAAGCCCGAAAAUUUCCUGUUCAUUAACAAGGAUGAGGACGCCCCACUUAAAGCAAUUGAUUUUGGGCUUUCAAUGUUCUUUAAGCCAGGUGAAAUAUUCAAUGAUGUGGUUGGAAGUCCAUAUUAUGUGGCUCCAGAAGUGUUGCAGAAGCACUAUGGUCCAGAAUGUGAUGUUUGGAGUGCUGGAGUGAUCAUUUAUAUUUUACUUUGUGGAGUCCCCCCAUUCUGGGAUGAAACGGAGCAAGGGAUAUUUGAGCAGGUUAUGAGAGGUGAACUCGACUUUACAUCAGAGCCAUGGCCUAGUAUCUCUAACAGUGCAAAGGACUUGGUACGACGAAUGCUUAUAAAGGACCCUAAAAGGCGGUUGACAGCCCAUGAAGUUCUUUGUCACCCUUGGGUUCAGGAGGAUGGCAUUGCUCCUGAUAAACCUCUUGAUUCAGCUGUCCUAUCGCGUUUGAAGCAAUUUUCUGCAAUGAAUAAGCUGAAGAAAAUUGCCAUCAGAGUCAUUGCUGAUAGCCUAUCAGAAGAGGAAAUUGCAGGCCUGAAAGAAAUGUUUAAGAUGAUAGAUGCAGAUAACAGUGGGAAUAUCACUCUUGAGGAACUGAAAAUUGGUUUGGAAAAAGUUGGUUCUAAGCUCAAGGAUUCUGAGAUUAAUGGGUUAAUGCAAGCUGCAGACAUUGAUAACAGUGGUACUAUAGACUAUAGCGAGUUCAUAGCGGCCAUGCUUCAUCUAAACAAGAUCCAGAAAGAGGAUCAUCUGUUUGCAGCUUUCAACUACUUUGACAAAGAUGGAAGUGGCUACAUUACUCCAGAUGAGCUCCAACAGGCCUGUGAGCAGUUUGGCUUGCAAGAUGUUCACUUGGAAGAUGUAAUACGUGAAGUUGACCAGGAUAACGUAAAGAAUUUACAAGCUGACUUUUUAACUUCCAUUUUCACUUCAAAUAUUAUGUUGGUUAAAGAUGUAUGUUCAUUUUACAUACAUCGAUUAUCAUGAUUUCUUCUCUUCAGGAUGGACGUAUCGACUAUAGUGAGUUUGUAGCUAUGAUGCAAGACACAGGUUUAACCGGAAAGCACAAAACAUUUAAGCAUUGAUACAUCAUCUUGCUACAGUAAGACUGCUUAUUCCAUGGUUCUUUAGACUACAAUUUUGAUUUUGAACCUCAGACCUUUUGGUAAUCCCUACUGAAACUAUCAUAAGUUGGGUAGUAAUUCCCUUAUCUGAAUCUUGUUAGCACUUUUCAGUUCACUAUACUGAGCUAUGCUACUCUUGACUUUUUCUUUUUCUUGAAGUACCCGUCUUAGACACCUAUGUCUGAUGCAUAUCUGGAAAUGGGUGUAGAGACAUGACCCUAAAAAAGCCCUCCAAAUACAUGCAAAAACUUUGAAAAAUUUGAACAUACUCAUACCAGAUAUAUACUCUUAUCCAACAUUUACACCCAAGCUGAGAUCUCUUUACUCAUUUUGACCCUCAAUUUCUUCCAGGUUAAGUCAUUCAUUCAUCAGUCCAUUCAUUUGCCCUCGUCUGAAAAAGAAAAAGAUAAAAAAGAAGAAGGAAUAUACGGGACUUGGUAGCCAUGUUCAACAUAAGCUGUUUAGCAGCUCUGUUUAGAAACUGUAGCAUGCUCGAUGUUGUGUCCCGUAGUGAUCUUGCUGGCCUAAGGUCGACUCAAUCAUAGGGUACUUCCUUCUUGCUACCAUAUCUUGCCUACUAGCAAGGCCAGCAUAUCUAGAUUCUCAGGAGGUUAUGCAGAAAAAAUGGCAUGUAACAUUUUGCUGGCGAAGAUUGGCUUGUUGACAUGGAGCGCCCCCAUGGCAGAGAAGUCAAAGCUUAUAGGAACCCAUAUUAUUUGGACCUAAGUUAAUGGCGUGGUUCGUAGGUUUCCCUCUUCUUUGGAGAGUUGUUCUGUAAUGUUCUUAAAAAUUUUUGUUGUAGAAAAACGGACCACUUGGUUCAAUUUUACUCGUCCUCGAUUGGACCAUUGCAGGAACAAGCAAACUCAUUGGUUAUUUCAACCCUUUUUACCAUCAUGCAACAACUUGCGUCUUCUUGUUUUCACAUCUAACAAAUCUCAUAUAUUUAUUUACUCUCAAAUUACAAUUUAUCAUUUGAUGGUGAAA
Gossypium arboreum is the source of this 3510-nucleotide RNA transcript. It is a transcript of the gene named calcium-dependent protein kinase 20-like, with no coding region annotated. The record is from RefSeq and is a predicted model, not a curated record. Lineage: Eukaryota; Viridiplantae; Streptophyta; Magnoliopsida; Malvales; Malvaceae. The transcript has 7 exons.